GACCCUAUGACAACACAGAAUGAUUUAAGUCUAACUGACUGCAAAGUAGAUUUCUCAUAUAUAAUUAGUGAUUUCUUGGGCAGUCCCAUCUUAAUUUGUGAACAUGAACAGGAAAUUGCUUUCAAAGCCUCCAAAGCAAAGCAGCCAAGCCUGACUAAUUAACAUCAUAAAGACAAACAGAAGCUCAGGAUUCAGUAAUGUAUCAUUGAAGAGAAUGUCAGUACACAAGUCAGUUUGUAAUGGAUAUGAGGCCGUUAAGUUGUAUAAUUUGUAUACUGGUGUUGCUCUAACUGGUGUUAGUGUGAUGCCUUUAUUUUUCUCAUACUGCUAAAAAGAGGCUCCAUUGCUCUUUGCCAUAUAUUUUUUAUGUCGCUGGAGCAUACUGAAGAGAUGAAAGACUAUUUGAGGUGAAGCUCAAUUUCUAACACAUUGCAUAGAAGCAAAGCAGUAGCAUUUUUUUAUACGGGCGACAGGGGCGGUUGCCCGGGGCGGCAUCACGGUGGGGGGCGGCAUCACGGGCAUCGGCAAAAAAAAAAAAAAAAAAAAUUGCUCCUACUCAUGCUGCCCCGACAUCAGCCAGCGCAUAUUGGGAAUGGCAUAGGCACCGAUCGGUUUUCUAUCUCCCAUUUCCUGGGAGUAAGGGCGCCCUCCGUUUGCGAGGUGCGCCUGCUGCUUGCGGCACAGGGAGGAGAGGGCGGGGCGGCAGGGGAUUCACUAAAUAAAUCCAAGCCCAUUAUGUGUUCAUGAUUUGAAUCCUGGGUUGUGUGAAAUCCCAGAAAUACACCUUAGACAAAGUGAAUCUGUGAACUAAGGUGUAGGUCUAUCAGGUUAAGUUGUGGUGAUCCUUGAGUUGAGUUGGGGGAUUUGUGUUCAUACUGGAGUCCAAAAUUAAAACCAAUGGAAGAUGGACAAGAAAAGUUCAAAGCCAUCAGGUGCUCAGUUUAGAAAAAAUAGAAAAGAAGAGGAGGAGAAACUAGCAAAAGAUACAGGUAAGCAGAUGUGUCAUUGGAUAAUGGCAGGUCAUCCUGAAACAAUCAGAAUCAGAAUCAGAAUACUUUAUUAAUCCCUAAGAAAAUAAUGUGGAUUGCAGUUGCUCCAAGAAGAAAUCGGAA
Astatotilapia calliptera (eastern happy) is the source of this 1112-nucleotide long non-coding RNA. The record is from Ensembl. NCBI's taxonomy places the organism in Eukaryota, Metazoa, Chordata, Actinopteri, Cichliformes, Cichlidae.